AGGGCGUUCAGGGAAUGCCUUGGCAGAUACAGGCGAUGAAGGACGCGCCAUGCUGCGAAAAGCCUCGGGGAGCUGCAAGGAAGCUUUGAUCCGGGGGUGUCCGAAUGGGGAAACCCACCUCUAAGCCUGAAUUGAUAAGCUGAUCUUUUGGGUCAGCUUAUUUUUCAGGCUUUAUAACGAGGUAUUUUAGAGCUGAAUAUAUAGGCUUUAAAAAGCGAACCCGGGGAACUGAAACAUCUCAGUACCCGGAGGAAAGGAAAUCAACCGAGACUCCCAAAGUAGUGGCGAGCGAAAUGGGACCAGGCGAUCAGUGUGUACGAACGGGAACAGUCUGGAAAGACUGGCCGCAGCGGGUGACAGCCCCGUACCGGCAGGAAGCACUGACAUAUCAAGUAGGGCGGAACACGUGAAAUUCUGUCUGAAGAUGGGGGGAACACCCUCCAAGCCUAAGUACUCGUAUCUGACCGAUAGUGAACUAGUACCGUGAGGGAAAGGUGAAAAGCACCCCAACGAGGGGAGUGAAACAGACCUGAAACUGAACGCUUACAAGCAGUCGGAGGGCCUUUAUGGCCUGACGGCGUACCUUUUGUAUAAUGGGUCAGCGACUUAGUCUCUCUAGCAAGCUUAAGCCGAUAGGCGUAGGCGCAGCGAAAGCGAGUCUGAAUAGGGCGAUUUAGUUAGAGGGAUUAGACCCGAAACCCGGUGAUCUAGAUAUGAGCAGGAUGAAGGUAAGGUAACACUUACUGGAGGUCCGAACCCGUACUUGUUGAAAAAAGUUGGGAUGACUUGUGUCUAGGGGUGAAAGGCCAAUCAAACCGGGAGAUAGCUGGUUCUCCGCGAAAUCUAUUUAGGUAGAGCGUCGCACGAAUACCCUCGGGGGUAGAGCACUGGAUGGGCUAUGGGGGCUUACCGCCUUACUGAUCCUAACCAAACUCCGAAUACCGAGGAGUAAUAUGCGGCAGACACACUGCGGGUGCUAAGGUCCGUAGUGAAAAGGGAAACAGCCCUGACCGACAGCUAAGGUCCCCAAGUCAUAGUUAAGUGGGAAAGGAUGUAGGGAUCCCAAAACAACCAGGAUGUUGGCUUAGAAGCAGCCAUCAUUUAAAGAAAGCGUAACAGCUCACUGGUCUAAAUAAGGGUCCCCGCGCCGAAAAUGUAACGGGGCUUAAACUAUGCACCGAAGCUUCGGAUGCACACUUUUAGUGUGCGUGGUAGCGGAGCGUUCUCUAUGCCGAUGAAGCGGUACCUGUGAGGGGCCGUGGAGGUAUGAGAAGUGAGAAUGCUGACACGAGUAGCGAUAAAGAGUGUGAGAGACACUCUCGCCGAAAGUCCAAGGGUUCCUGCGCAAUGCUAAUCAGCGCAGGGUUAGCCGGCCCCUAAGUCGAGGCGGAAACGCGUAGACGAUGGGAAUCAGGUGAAUAUUCCUGAGCCAGAAGAUGUGUGACGGAUUGAGUAAGUUGUUCGACCUUAUUGGAUUGGUCGGGCUGCGAAUCAGUCCCUGGAAAUAGCCUCUUCAAUAGACCGUACCCUAAACCGACACAGGUGGACUGGUAGAGCAUACCAAGGCGCUUGAGAGAACUGCAUUGAAGGAACUCUGCAAAUUACUCCCGUAAGUUCGCGAGAAGGGAGCCCCGUUUGGAGGCAACUCUGGGCGGGGGGCACAAACCAGGUGGUAUCGACUGUUUAACAAAAACACAGGGCUCUGCGAAGUCGUAAGACGACGUAUAGGGUCUGACGCCUGCCCGGUGCCGGAAGGUUAAGAGGAGGGGUGCAAGCUCCGAAUUGAAGCCCCGGUAAACGGCGGCCGUAACUAUAACGGUCCUAAGGUAGCGAAAUUCCUUGUCGGGUAAGUUCCGACCUGCACGAAUGGCGUAACGAAUUCCACACUGUCUCCAAUGCAGACUCAGCGAAACUGAAUUCUCCGUGAAGAUGCGGAGUUCCCGCGGUCAGACGGAAAGACCCCGUGCACCUUUACUACAACUUUGCAGUGGCAUUAGAGUCACCAUGUGUAGCAUAGGCGGGAGGCUUUGAAACUUGGGCGCCAGCUCAGGUGGAGCCGCAAUGUGAAAUACCGCCCUUGUUGUCUCUGAUGUCUAACCGCGGUCCGUUAUCCGGAUCCGGGACCCUGCAUGGUGGGUAGUUUGACUGGGGCGGUCGCCUCC
This 2162-nucleotide ribosomal RNA is filed under the name rock porewater metagenome. RNAcentral describes it as "bacterial LSU rRNA". It matches the Rfam family "Bacterial large subunit ribosomal RNA", at positions 14 to 2290 of the family's 2925-position model. The record is from RNAcentral.